GGACUACGGGGGUAUCUAAUCCGGUUCGCUGCCCCAGCUUUCGUCCCUGACCGUCAGGCGUGUUCUAGUGAGCAGCCUUCGCCACUGGUGGUCCUCCUGGGAUCAAAGGAUUUCGCCCCUACCCCAGAAAUACCGCUCACCUAUCCCACCCUCUAGCUGUAUGGUAUCAUCCGCAGUCCAACGUUUAGGACGCUGGAUUUAACGGAGGACGGAUACAGCCAGCUACGGACGCUUUAGACCAAAUAAUAGUCCCCACCACUCGAGGGGCUGGUGUUACCGCGGCGGCUGACACCAGUCUUGCCCCCCUCUUAUUCCCACAGGAUAUUACUCUAUGGAAAAGCAGCCCUUAUCGGACUGCACUCGAGAUAACCCCAUCGUACUGGCGUACAUUGUGGAGUUUUCGCGCCUGCUGCCCCCCAUAGG
RNAcentral lists this ribosomal RNA (423 nucleotides) under uncultured archaeon. Its description in RNAcentral is "partial 16S ribosomal RNA". The record is from RNAcentral.